UAUACUGCAUUUCCCAGCCCCCUUUGCGGUUAGGGGAGGUCUUGCCACUGGGUGCCAGCCAAUGGGAUGUAGUGGAAGUGGCAACCAGAAGCAGCCCCUGGAAAAACCCCCCACCUACCCGGCAUCCUCCAUUCUUUCUCCAGUGAAAAGUGUACUAAGCCAUGGAGAUGUGGGGAUCAUUUGUUACAGAAGAUAGUCGACCCUGAUUAAUAUAGUGUUUGUCCCGAUAACAGGACAGUCUGACUUAUCAGCAUAGAAAAAUAUUUCUGUCAGCAUUCGGAGAACAUGGGGGUGUCCUAUGGCCAAUCACAUUUGGAAAAACUACCCAUUUAUGCCCGUUAUUGGAGAUUCAUAAGACUUUGUAGUUUUUCCAAGCCCAGACUUUCAUGUUUAAGUAAAUAGGCAUUUCAUGAGAAUCAUGAAACAGAACCCUGUACCUUGGGAGUUCUUAAUGUGAAAACAAAACAGCAUCAACAACACAAGUUGUUCGAAAAUAGAGUGACAAAACUGGAUACAACAGGGCUAACAUACAUGAUGCCUAAAAAUGGAUGUGGAGACAUUCAGAGCAACUGAAGACGCAUGGCUGAAAAGAUGUGCACGGAAUACCGACUCGAGGAAUCUCAUCAUUCGGUGGCUUGUUACCAGAUGCACAUUUGUUUACACUGAAAUGAAAGCAGAGAAACAGUUAAGUGCGUAAAGAAGGAAGACAAUAUCUUGUAGGAGCCCAGCCUUAUAUACAAGUCCAAUUAGAGGACCCCAUCAUUAACAUGAUCAAAAGCAGCUGAUAUUUCUAACACAAGUUAAGAUCUGAAAAUCUGGGUGGAAUUGCUUAUGCUUCUAUUCAGACUCCCAAAGAAAGACCCUAUUAAGCCCAACUAAAUUGCACCAAGUGGCUUAAAGAGGUGCCUGUCCGUUUUAAUUUUCCUGACACUCCUCUCUGAGGCUUGGUCUAAUAGUGAUUGUAUAGCACUAUUAGGGAUGCCUCUGCUGGGAAAACACAGUUGUCAGCGACCUGCUUUAUUAUUUUGAUGGUAUGCAAUAAUUUCUCUCAGGGCUGUUGCUCCAGAAAAGGACAUAUUGGCCUGCUCUCUCAGCUCCUAAUUAAGCAACAGUGAAAUUUUAUACUAAUACCGGACUUAAAGGGAAGAUUGGAAAAGCAUUUAUCUUCCAAACUGACCUAAUUAUCAUUAGUGUACUAUUCUAAACAUAAAGAAAUCAAUCCAUUUUAGAAAUGGAUUUAAUAAUGCAAUGCACUUUGUAUUAUGUUUCUGAAAUCUCAUUCUUGUUGGGUAUUUAAUACUUGCUUUCCCUUUUAAAAUAUACACUGGAGUGACUUUACGUGGGACUGUGACAUUUUCAGGCACUUUUUUUUUUUGCAUGAAUUGCAAAAGUAGGUGCUAUACAAAUGUCAUAUUUCAUCAGUAGCAUGUUUUGCUUUUGAGGUGAGGAACCACUUGGAGAAACACUGAGUGGGUAUAAAUUAAUCUCAAGGAAAUCGGGAGUUCUUUUACAAACGGGACCAUUUCAAAAUUAGCAAGACAACCAAUGUGAGAGAAGUAGCUGGGGAGUGAGAUACAAUGAAACAAACGCACAAACAAAAUGGUUUGAUCACCGAUCUGCCCUUUGAGGUAUUUGUGUCAAAUGUAGGCACAGGUCAGUGUUCUCUCUCAACACCAGCUAUUUUUAUUCCCAUCUUUGCCGAAAUUUGGUGUUUUCCUGGCCCUGACCACUAACCUGUUGCAAAUGCCCAGGGUAAUCUGAUUCCGCCUGUGUUCCUCCCUAUCUCUCCUGACCACCCCGUCAUUCCCAGUACUGCUGAUUUUGAUUCUUAUCCUAGUUGAUCAACUACCAUUUCAGUUCCCACUGACCUCCUGUCGUUACCCUCAAAUCGUUUCUUCGGUGCCUAAGCAAUGUGUUUCUAACUUUCCAAGCUACUGUGAAACAAGAACCUUCAGACGCUGACAGGGGCUCUCCAUACAAGAGUUAAUCAGCACCUUUGCUGUAGAGUGGACCUCACAGCUGCCAAGUGGCAGAGGCAGGAUUUGAACCCAGGGCCAGCAAACUGCAAGGAGUCCUCUUUCUUCCUUUUGAGGCCACAGUCUCUAGGGAAAGACCUCAAAUCGGUUUGGUGGAGUUAUCAGCCCAGUCCCUAAGAAAGCGAUGUGGUCUGCAUAGGGACCAUCUACGGGAAAUAAAGGAUGAGUCGCUAAGGAUAGAAUGAAUUAACACAUUUAGAGGUGAGGCCUGAGAUACGUGAGAAGUUGGUGAUGAUGUCACAAGAGUCUUGUUUUUUCUUUUAAUUUUUCAUGUUUAUUUGUUUUCGAGAGAGUGCGCAUGGGGC
Long non-coding RNA from Acinonyx jubatus (cheetah), 2341 nucleotides. RefSeq lists it as uncharacterized. The transcript is spliced from 5 exons. NCBI's taxonomy places the organism in Eukaryota, Metazoa, Chordata, Mammalia, Carnivora, Felidae. The record is from RefSeq and is a predicted model, not a curated record.